CAGUAGCGGGAAUACGUAGGGUGCAAGCGUUAAUCGGAAUUACUGGGCGUAAAGCGUGCGCAGGCGGUUUGUUAAGACAGAUGUGAAAUCCCCGGGCUUAACCUGGGAACUGCAUUUGUGACUGGCAAGCUAGAGUCUGGCAGAGGGGGGUGGAAUUCCGCGUGUAGCAGUGAAAUGCGUAGAUAUGCGGAGGAACACCGAUGGCGAAGGCAGCCCCCUGGGCCAACACUGACGCUCAUGCACGAAAGCGUGGGGAGCAAACAGGAUUAGAUACCCCCGUAGUCCCUGUCUCUUAUACACA
This 301-nucleotide ribosomal RNA is filed under the name uncultured bacterium. RNAcentral's name for it is "partial 16S ribosomal RNA". It matches the Rfam family "Bacterial small subunit ribosomal RNA", at positions 512 to 810 of the family's 1533-position model. The record is from RNAcentral.